This is an RNA transcript of Hemiscyllium ocellatum (epaulette shark), 2589 nucleotides long. It is a transcript of the gene named gastrula zinc finger protein XlCGF7.1-like, with no coding region annotated. NCBI's taxonomy places the organism in Eukaryota, Metazoa, Chordata, Chondrichthyes, Orectolobiformes, Hemiscylliidae. The transcript is spliced from 9 exons. The record is from RefSeq and is a predicted model, not a curated record.
CCAGCGGCAAGAUGGCGGCUGUGCAGCCGGAGUUCGAGCCGCCCCCGUUCUCGGUGAAGAGGCUGAGAGCUGCGAACCCGGCCCCUGCAGCAGACUUGUGAGGAACACAAUAGAUCAUAGAAUAAAGGAGACAGUAGCUAUGUGGAUCCAGAAUUGACUGAGCAACAGGAAGAGAAUGGUCAACAGAUGUUUUUUCAGAAAACCCCAUCUGGUGAAGGUCUGUUUCCAACAGAUGUUAUCUGUCAUGACUGCAUCAUUUCUUCAGAAUGGGAAAGCUUCAAUCCACCAGCCAGGUUUCAUUCUGGGAUCUAACUUGUCUGGGAUCUUACUGUCAGCUGGAUUCCGAACAACAUCAAGAUCUAACAGACUCACUCAAAUCACCAGGACCUGAAUAUCAUUGGGCUUCAACUGUGAAAGGAAAAGGCCUUCCCAAAGUGAGGCUGGAACACGAACAUUGAAGUUGUGAGCUCUAAUGCAGUGAUGGCAACUCCACCUCUGAGCUAUCAGCUGUGAGGUCACUUCAAACUCAUAGUUUUUGGAAUAAUGAAUGUGGCCAACUGUCUGAUUUCUAAGACCUGAUUGUGAUCCUGAAAACUUAGUAAAAAGGCUUUUGGAAAGGCAGGUGGUAACCUGAAACCACAUGUAGCAUCAAGACCUGACAGAUGCACAAUAUUCAUCAGGAGCAGAAUAUCACAGGCCUUUGAACAUGGAAGGACAAAGCACUGUACACAAUGGCGAGAAACCAUUCACGUGUUCUGUGUGUGCACGAGGGUUCAGCCAGUCAUCUGGCUUGUCAAAACAUAAAUGCAGCCAUACUGGGGAGAAACCGUGGAAAUGCGGUGACUGUGGGAAAGGAUUCAUUUCCCCAUCGAAACUGGAAACUCAUCGACGCAGACACACCGGUGAGAGGCCAUUCACCUGCUCCAUUUGUGGGAGGGGAUUCACGCAGUCAGCGAACUUACUGACCCACCGGCAAGUUCACACUGGGGAGAGGCCAUUCACUUGUUCCGAGUGUGGGAAGGGAUUCGCUGAUUCAUCCAGCUUCCUGAGGCACCGGCAGGUUCACAGUGGGGAGAGGCCAUUCAACUGUUCUGAGUGUGGCAAGAGAUUCAUUCAGUCAUCCGACCUGCUGAGACACCAGCGAGUUCACACUGGGGAGAGACCUUUCAAAUGUCCAGACUGCGCAAAGUGCUUUAAAAGUUCCAGGGAACUGACAUGUCAUCUACGUGUUCACACUGAGGAGAGACCUUUUAAAUGUCCCGACUGUGAGAAGUGCUUUAAAGGCUCCAGGGAACUGAUGCUCCAUCAACGCAUUCAUACUGAUGAGAGACCAUUCAGGUGCUCUCACUGUGGGACUGGGUUCAAGCGGUCAUCACACCUCACUGAACAUCAGCGAGUUCAUACUGGAGAGAGGCCAUUCACCUGCCUUGCAUGUGGGAAGGGAUUCACUCAGUCAUCCAACCUGCUGACACACCAGCGAGUUCACAAAUAACUGCAAUGAUUGAAUGUUGCAGUUUGUCACAUCCAGAACUGAACUGUCUUCAAUGGGACCUAUUUUUAUUAAACGUCAGGCCACUUUUAGGUUUUAAUAUCCUGGAUAAAGGAUGGAACUUGGAUGCAGUAACCUAUUUAUCUGAGAUUCCCCCUACCGGCUCUGCUAUAUCCUCCAGGGCACCUCCAGGCAGUGGAUGGAACUUGGGUGCAGUAACCUAUUUAUGUGAGAUCACCCCUACUGGCUCUGCUAUAUCCUCCAGGGCACCUCCAGGCAGUGGGUAUUUGUAACCAGGAAAAACAAACCAAAUCAGAAUCUGACAGCCUCUCAAUAAAUCAUUAACUGAAAGUCAUCACAUGUUGAACAUGGAGGUAAAAAAUGCCUUUCACAAUGGAGAGAAACCAUUCACGUGUUCUGUGUGUGGGGGAGGUUUAAGCCAAUCAUCGGAAUUGUUCCAGCAUAACUGCAAUCACAGUGAGGAGAAACCCUGGAAGUGCAGGGACUGUGGGAAGGGAUUCAUUACCCCCUCAAGGCUGGAAACUCAUUGGCGAAGUCACACUGGAGACAGACCCUUCACUUGCUCCAAAUGUGGGAAGGGGUUCCCUUACUCAUCCAGCCUGCUGAGACACCAGCGCAUUCACAAUGGGGAGAGACCAUUCGCCUGCUCCGCCUGUGGGAAGGGGUUCAGUGACUCCUCCAACCUACUUUCACACCAGCUCGUUCAUUCUGGCGAGAGGCCAUUCACCUGCUCCAUAUGUGGGAAAGGAUUCGCUCGGUUAACCAACCUGCGGACACACCAGCGAGUUCACAUGGAGAAGAAGCCAUAUCCUUGCUCUGUGUGUGGGAUGCGGUUCGCUCAAUUGUGGCAUCUGCUGAAACACCAACGGGUUCGCAAGGGAUCACAGAGGUUGGAUUCUACUGUUGCCACUGCUGUAAGUCACACCCAGGAGUGAACUCUGUUCAUUCUCACAGUGGGUGAUGCGAAAGACUUUCUUUCUGUCAGCCUGAUCACCCAGCUUCCAGUAAACCUGAUGCUCUUUGAGCCUGGGAGUGUACACUUUCAGCGAAAUAAAAAGUGCUUAUUUCAUCCUGGAUAA